RNAcentral lists this long non-coding RNA (1798 nucleotides) under Portunus trituberculatus (swimming crab). Its description in RNAcentral is "uncharacterized LOC123503080". The record is from RNAcentral. Lineage: Eukaryota; Metazoa; Arthropoda; Malacostraca; Decapoda; Portunidae.
UUCCCCUUCCCCUCCCCUGGUGACCGAAAAAAAAUAAAUAAAUAAAUAAAUAAAUGACGAUAUAUAAAGUAAUUGUCAAAAAAUCAUAUAUAUAUUUUUUUUUUAAUAUAGACAGAAAUAUUUUGUUUGUUAUCGAUAAACUGUGAUCGGAAAAAAAGAAAAUGGAAAAGAAGAAAAUAUAGAUCGAAAAAUCCUGAUUCAGAAAGAUAAAUUGGUGGAAACGAUGAAAAUGAGAGAGAGAGAGAGAGAGAGAGAGAGAGAGAGAGAGAGAGAGAGAGAGAGAGAGAGAGAGAGAGAGAUAUAUAUCGAAAAAUCACAAAAAAAACUUACAUAUUGAAAAAUUAUGAAGAUUUCUUUAAUAUUAGCGGAUGAAAAAAGAAUAAAUAGAUAAAUAAACAUAUACUUCCUUGAAAAUCAACAACUUAAAACUACAAUAACCAGUUUGAAUAUAUAUGAAACAGAAGAGGAAAGAUUUGACGCGAUAGGAAGCAAUGGAGAGGCAGGCAGGGAAGGUUCAGAAUACGCGACACGUGGACCUUAUGAUAGACCGCUCUGUGUUGCUGUUCCGCAUCUCACAGCACAACAACGAGGCUCUCAAGAUCUUCCUCAACCUAAACUGACCGCUCACACACCGCCUCGUACGCGUCAACUCUUUAUACAAGUGUGUGUGUGCCUGUCUGUCUCAACCUAAACUGACUGCUCACACGCCGCCUCGUACGCGUCAACUCUUUAUACAAGUGUGUGUGUGUGUGUGUGUCGUGGCCUCACAGACUAAAUGCCCACCUUCUCGUGCUCGUCAGCUCUUUAUACAGGUGUAUGUAUGUGUGUGUGUGUGUGUAUGUGUGUGUCUGUCUGUCUCAAUCUAAACUGACCGCUCACACGCCGCCUCGUAUGCGUCAACUCUAUACAAGUGUGUGUUUGUGUGUGUCGUGACCUCAUAGACUAAACGCGCACGAACCACCUACAUCAGCGCUCUAUACAGGUGUGUGUGUGUGUGUGUGUCUGUAUCAAGGCCUCAUAGACUAUAAACUCGAAAUAUAAAAUAAUACAAAGGCAACAGCAGAGAUAAUGAGCUUCCUAAUAAGAUUCCCUUCAGAGAUAAGUCACGAGAUAAGAUUAUGAAGCUGUGGUGUGUUUCCUUGAUGAUGAUUGAUUAAUAUUCCCUGAACUGCGAGAUAGAUAAGAUGAGGUCAUUUGAGAUUGUUCAAGAUAGUUUCCGAUGAUAAAACUUGGUAAUAUUUAUAAGAGAGAAAGAGAGAGAGACUUCUUACUACUAUUUCAAAGCUACAAUAAAAAAAAGAAACAGAACUAAUGUAAGAUUUUUUACUUGAAGACAUGAAACAUUUUUUUUUUUUUUUUUUUCCAGAAGUUAUGGAAGUGAUGAAGUUCAGAGCGCGAAAAUACAAAAAUUGAUGAAGUGAAGAAGGAGGAAGUUUUCAAGUUACGAACACAACACUGACACAUACCGCAGAGAGUUACGAGAGGGCAGUUAGAAGGAAGAUUAGGAGUUAGGGAAAGGAAAAUAGAUACAAGAAGGUGACUUUACGAUGAUACGAAGAGAGUUAAUGAUUUUUAGUUACAACAAAAAAAGUUAUAAUAGAAACAACAACAACACGAGAGCGCAGUUACAUAGAGGAAAGAUUAGUAGUUAGGAAAAAGGAAAUAAAUAUGAAAAAAAGUUAAUGAUUUUAUGCUCAGGGUACAGAAAAAAGUUAUAAUUGAAACAGCACUAACACACCACAGAGUUACGAGAGCGCAGUUACAUUGAAGAAAACAGCUAGAAGAAAGAUUAGAAGUU